UUAUAUGAUGUUCAAACUAUAUUAAUAACUUUCGUUCUACUGAAUUAAUGAUCAAACGAUCUUGUAGAUAAAAUAUAAAAAUUUCUGAUU
This 90-nucleotide small nucleolar RNA is filed under the name Hanseniaspora valbyensis NRRL Y-1626. RNAcentral's name for it is "Small nucleolar RNA snR54". It matches the Rfam family "Small nucleolar RNA snR54". From Rfam's summary of the family: snR54 is a member of the C/D class of snoRNA which contain the C (UGAUGA) and D (CUGA) box motifs. Most of the members of the box C/D family function in directing site-specific 2'-O-methylation of substrate RNAs. Lineage: Eukaryota; Fungi; Ascomycota; Saccharomycetes; Saccharomycodales; Saccharomycodaceae. The record is from Rfam by way of RNAcentral.